GUGAAUGUGACAGCCAAUCGACCAGACUGCCAGCCUCAGCUUGGGGAGGAAAUGUAGAAAAACCUCCGUGAGUAAAAUGCGCGCGAAGUGACGCGACACGCGCCGCUCCACAAGUGCCCUGACUAUCUGCCACGGACAGCGCGAGAAGCAGGGCGCGAAACCGACUCGCCCUUUUGAGGGGACAAACAUGACUGUGGUGCCCGGGGAGAACCUCGAAGAGACUGUGGCAUUGGCAGCCCUGUCCCAAGAUGUUUACGACCCUGAACGGGCAGACCAGGAGUGCUGCGAGCGGGUGGUUAUCAACAUCUCCGGCUUGCGCUUCGAAACCCAACUAAAAACACUGGCGCAGUUCCCCGCCACCUUACUCGGUGACCCCAGGAAAAGAAUGCGCUUCUUCGACCCUCUGAGGAACGAGUACUUCUUCGACAGAAACCGUCCGAGCUUUGAUGCCAUCCUCUACUACUAUCAGUCUGGAGGCAGGCUGAGGAGACCCGUCAAUGUUCCCGUGGACAUCUUCAUGGAGGAGAUCAAAUUCUACGAGUUAGGAGAAGAAGUCAUUGAGAAUUUUAGGGAGGACGAGGGGUUCAUCAAGGAGGAAGAGCGACCUUUGCCCGAAAACGAGUUUCAGAGACAGGUCUGGCUGCUGUUCGAGUACCCCGAGAGCUCUGGACCCGCGAGGGGCAUCGCAAUCGUCUCGGUGCUCGUCAUCUUGAUAUCAAUUGUCAUCUUUUGCUUGGAGACUUUACCAGAGUUUAGGGAAGACGGGAAAAUGGUCGAGGAGCACCUCGCACUCAAUGGAACUGCUAGUUCAAAGAAGCCCAAUCCAUUCACAGACCCCUUCUUCAUUGUGGAGACCCUGUGUAUAAUCUGGUUCUCUUUUGAAUUGCUCGUGAGGUUCCUCGCGUGCCCAAGCAAGCCCGCCUUCUUCAAGAAUAUCAUGAACACGAUUGACAUCGUGGCUAUUAUCCCCUACUUCAUCACCUUGGGUCUGGAGUUGGCCGAGCAUCAGGGUAACGGCCAGCAGGCCAUGUCUCUGGCCAUCCUGAGGGUCAUUCGCUUGGUGCGGGUGUUCCGCAUAUUCAAGCUUUCCAGACACUCGAAGGGGCUUCAGAUCUUGGGCAAGACCCUGCAAGCGAGCAUGCGAGAGCUGGGGCUCCUCAUAUUCUUCCUUUUCAUUGGAGUUAUACUGUUCUCCAGCGCCGUGUAUUUCGCCGAGACGGACGACCCCGAAUCGGGGUUCAGCAGCAUCCCCGAUGCCUUCUGGUGGGCAGUGGUUUCCAUGACAACUGUUGGCUACGGGGACAUGUGCCCAGUCACCAUCGGGGGCAAAAUAGUGGGCUCUUUAUGUGCCAUCGCCGGUGUGCUCACCAUUGCGCUUCCAGUGCCCGUCAUCGUGUCCAAUUUCAAUUACUUCUACCACAGGGAGACCGAGCACGAGGAGCAGAUGCAGUACACGCACGUGACGUGUGGCCAGCAGCAGCCCUCGUUCGGUGAAUUUAAAAGGAGAGACAGCAAAGCGUCCCUUUCUAAAUCAGACUAUUUGGAUUCUGAGGAUGGAGAUUCAGUCAAGUACACCAACUGCAGCCCCCAUAAAGCAUACACAGGGAAGCUUACUGAUGUAUGAAUGUAGAACGCCGAGCAUUAGAAACCCAAAGAAGCGCACCUGUCUCUGUGAGUACAUCCUCAUCCUCAUCCUCAUCCCUCGCGCUGUACGUGGCUUGAGUAGAUCUGUGAGGAUUUUACUAUGACGUGAUGUGCGAUUGUUUUCGGAACUCUCUUCCAUUAACGUGACUGUAGGUCAUCGGGGCGCGAGACGUAGUUGUAUAGGCGCGAAAAUAAAAAAAAAUAAAUUAAAUAGAACGAUUAAAUCCUCGCGUAGCACUUUAGCAGUAUACUAAACUUUGUCCACAAAUUCGUUGGCGCGUGAUCUGUUAGUUUUCCAGAAAUUUGGUGCCAGUGCGAUUCAGACGUUUACAUACAAAUUGCUCAUUUGAAAAAUAAAUAGUAGGACCAACGUGUAACUUUUUUUUUUUUUUUUUUUUUUUAAUGUUUUUUUUUAAUUUAUUUUUUUAAAUAGGGCAGUUCGACUGCAAGGUCAUUUUGGGAAGAAAAAAAAAGUUUGCUACAGAUUAUUUAAAAUAUUAUUAUCGCAAUAUGUAACGUUAAAUUUAGAAAUACACAUCACAGUAAAAAAAAAAAAAACAUUUUUUUUUUCUAAGGACGAUCAGUAGAAGAGCAAACCAGCUUUGUGAUAGGUAAUUUUAGGCAUUUUCAGGUUGUCACUGCAUAAGCAUUGAAAGGUUAUCUUAAAGCUACUUGAUAACAUUAUUCGUACUAUGGAGAGGCACUUCAGGGAUACAGGCUUACACUGAUAAGCAACACGAAGCUUCUUCAUUUCGUCAUGUUAUCAACAGAUGUGUAGAGGAUGAAUGAGGAGAUGCUCGAUUUCAACAGCGUGCGCUCAAAUCUGGACACGAGUUCUUUUUCAAAUACACUAGCGUUAUCUAGUGGACAAUGGUGGAAACUGCAGUCUUUUAACAUAGGCUACUGCAUGUGUCUCCAUAGCAACUUUCCAGACGGUUCUGGUGACAUUGGGCUAUUAUUGUUCCCUAAAUCUAUUCACAUGGAAGACGGCUUCUGGUGCUUUUAUUUUAAAACUAGGUACUUUCAUAUAUUCAGUUAAGGAAAAAUCAUCAACCCUCAGGUAGGCAGGUUUACAUUCUCAUCAGGUCUAGUUAAACUAUGAGUCCACAUCCAUAAUAAUGGAGAGACAUCUUCAUUUCUGCACUGCAACAGCGUGGAAAGGGCAUCAUGAAUUCAGCACAAAAUCGGAUUCAUUAUGACGUCACUGUGAGAAAGGAAAGUCUCUGUCUAUUGGCUGGACUAGGAGACUCAACCCCUGCAAUGUCAGUAAUGGACUAACUGAAAAUGGAAACAACUAAACAGAUUUCCGGACACACCACAUCAAGUUUUUUUUAUUGGAUUUUCACAUUAGCAGUGAGAGUUCAGACAGGAAGAGGUACAGUCAUGAAACUGGACUUCCUGUCCUUCAGAUCUGCAUACCGUAUACAUGCAGCACAGUAUCAUCAAGGACAAUAUGAACCUUCACCAGAGCAGCAGAACAUGGGAUGAAACAAACUUCAUUUAAACCACAUUCACUUGUUCCUAUCAAAGGAAUUAUGCACAGUGUCUCAAAAGGAAUCAUAUUGCCAAAUGGGGAAUCUAACCAUGAGGAGAUACGACAAUGUGGUGAAGAUGAAGAAGAUGAGGUAGAAACUAUUUACUUGAAAUCACAGAGUACAUGCACAAACAAUUUGUGAGAUGCAUCUUGAUGUUUAUGUGCCCUUAAAACAACAACAUGCUACUGGGACAGGUGUGACUAUGUACACGUGAAUAUUCGUCUUCAGACCAGCAGUAUGUCACAUUUAAACAUUACAGAUCAUGUGCUAUACCAAAACAUGUUAGGGAUUGCAUGGAAAGUUGGGAAAGGAAUAAAUCUUGAUUAUUAUGUUAAUUUAAUUUCUUUUUUUUUUUCAACAAACUCAGUAGUCAUUUUAAGUGGGAACAACUAUCAAUGACAACAAAUUACUUGACUGUUGAGGUUAACAUUGUUAAAUAUCUAUUUUUUUAAAGUAUCAUAGGUUUUAUAUAAAAAUGGAAUCGGUUAAACUGGUGAAAGGUUAUUUUUCUAGCUUUUUAAAAUUUUGCUAAAUCAUUUUACAUUAUCUUUCUUUCUUUGUUUCAAGGAAAUGUGUAUACAUUGAUUUCCUCCUGUAAUACUUUAUGCAGUAUAAAUAUUGAAAUGCAAAGGUUGCUGCAAGUUUGUGUCUUUAUUUCUUUUAUGAUUAUUGAUAUAGUUUCAUAAUCACUCAUCAGCGAAAGCAUCUACCUCAGUGUCCUGAUUGGCUGUUUUACUGUGUGUUUACCUCACUGUGUUGAGUUAUGUCAAACUGUUCACAAGCCUUAUUUAUGGAAACAGCUUAAGCAUACAGCAUGUGACGUUUCCCCACAUUAUUGUUGGAUGUAUGUUGUCCUGACUUUGUCCAUUCUGGUUUUGGGCAAUCAUUCAAUACAAAAAGUCAUUACAAUAAUGUAAACCUGGCAAGUAAAAACUCAUUCCAACAUUGCCCACUAUGGUACCCGGUAGGUGACAUGGUCGGUUCACAUAGUUUUGUCGUGGGAGUUUUGUCGUGGGAACGCGAUAAUAUGUCGUGGCCACAAGGUAUUAAUUUAUGGGAAUGCCAUGUUAACUCAUGGGUAACAACAUCUUUAUGUCGCGGCCUCAAGAUAUUAUGUUGAGGGAACAACAUGCAUUUCUCAAUGCCGCGACUUCUUAAUUGAGGGAUCGACAUAUUUUUCGCGUGGCAGCGAGUUUAUUAUUAUCAGAGAUUAUCAGAGAUGGAUUAAUUAAUAUUUUAUAUUGAAUAAAGAAAUUGUAUUACUUAUUAUAGAAAUCAUUACAUUAUUAAAUAAUAAUAUUAACCAUAGGCCUUGGCUACUGGUGCUGUAUUACAUAUGAUAGUCAGCAUUCAAAUUAAGUUUAUCAUAAAUAAAUGUUAUGUAAAGUGCAUAUUAUAAAAUUGGCCUAAAAUUAUUAUUUUUUAAUCCAUCCUACAGUCUUGUAAGUCCAUUAACUGACCAUAUUUCUCCAAUAAUAUUUGUGUAUUUACUAUUAUUAGCCUAUUAUAAUUGGUUGUAUUUUUAUAUUCAUUUUCCCCCUUUUUUCAAUCUUUACUUAACGUUCUGCGUACUUUUGUAAAUAAUAGCUUACUGUAAAUGCUCGACAUGCCAGUAAAGCUUUGAUUAUGCUGACUGGAAUUUUUGCUGGAAUGCAGUUUAAAUUGAACAUAUAUUUCAUUUUAUUUCUGCUAAAUAGACAAUAAUUAUAAAUACUGUAGUGUUUUGUUGAGGAUUUAAUCAUUCAUGUAGUUUAUCAUCACACAUGGGCAUAAAUACAAUCAUAAAUUCUAAACUAUAUUGGCAUAACAGUUAGACGUUUAUUUGCAAAAUAUAAGAUAGGGUAGCAAAUACUACCAUAAUUAGCAUAUACAACAAUAAAUAUAAACAUAUAGCUCUAAGUUAAUGUAAUAUAAUAUAAAAAUAUUAAAUUAAAUCUUAAUGUUAAUUAAAUUUUUUAUAAAUUUUUUAUAAUUCCGGGUUGCUAUGGACACACAGGUUUAUUUACACAUUAAACUUGUGGCCCUCAACAUAGCAUCAAGAGGUCACGACAUAAGGAUGUCAUUAACUCGACAACAUGACGUUCCCACGAGUCAUUAUGUCAUGGCCACAACAACACUAAGUGAACCUAACACGCCACCUCCCGGGCACCAUACCGUUAGAAUAAAUAAGAGAUUGAAAUGUAUUUUCCCUGCUUUCUAAUUAUAGAGAUAUAUAGGCCUAAGAAUUGAAAUCUAUAAAUAGAUUUUAUAGGCUAAGAUGUGGGAAAUUGCAAUGAGUUAAUAUGCUAAUGAUGAUACUUAAAGAGAUUGUAUGACAGUAGAUUUUCCUAGAUGAAAUGUAUAUAUUAUAUAUAAUGUUCCUAUUUAAAUAAAUAAUUAUUUCGUUAAGGUUUGUUCAUAAGCAUACAUGUAUCCAAUUCAAUUCCUGAAAUUCGGACUUCACAUGCAUACUGUAUGAAAAUCUGCAUCAUGUCCAAUGAAUGUCCAGCAUCCAGUUAAUCAUUUUGUCAUCUCUGUGUAUCAAAAACACUCUGCUGCUUUGAGGUCUUCCAUGUGAAAGCAAGAUGCUUCAUAAUCAUUUCUUCACAUUGCCAUUAUGUUCACUCUUUCAGUUCAUUUACAAACUAGUUUUGAUAAAUAAACAUAUCACCUGUUCUCUUCAUCUAAAUUGGACAUUACCACUGUCUAAAAAUAGGAUGGACAGAGCAGUAUUGGCUGACAUUGAUUCAUAUAAAUGAACAGUUUAUUUCAAUGAAUUAAAUCACUGAUUCAUUUGAGUCAUCACUCAAAGUUAAAAAAAUGCAAGUUUUUGCAGGCCUACCAUACAGUUUGUAACGUUUGCAUUAAACGUUUGCAAUACAGUGAAACAGUCGUAUUUUUCAAUGACAUUACAGAAAUUGUGUCGAAAAUUGCAGGAGCACAGACCCAGAGCAAUUCAUUUAUGAAUUAUUAAUCAUUAUGCUUGGUCCAUCAUUUCAUAUUUGGCACAGACACAGUGUGUUAAUAUGAUCAAGUCAAUAUAAAUUGCAGGGCUUUAGUCAUGUGUUUUCAAAUGGUUUUCAUGUUGGCUGCUGCCCCAUCAUUAGACUUGAUAUGAGCUGUGAUACAAACAUUUACUUACACAUUUGAGUAAUCAAUAGUAUGAAUGUAUCACGCAGAACUAGGAAUGUUUUUAUUAUUAAACUGUAAUGAUCUACAUGAAAGACUGCAGGGUAGGGGACGGCAGAAACAACUUUCACAUAUAAACCAAAGGGUCACUUAUUCCACAUACAUUUAGAAAAAUCUGCUGUGACCGUUUGUAUUAUUAUUUUUUUUCCAAUUGAUUUCUUUGGACAUAAAAUAUUUUAUGAAGUUUUGAUGACUUCAAAGCAGGCCAAGUUGUUGACUGAGCUAAAGUGAAUGAAUUCAAACUGGUAGUAACCAGAUGGGAUUUUGUUAUGGCUGUGAGUUGAAUACAACCCAGCGCUAAGUAAAAUAUGGACAAACCCAACAACUGGGGAAGUUUUGACCCAGCGGUUUGAUUAAAUGUUUAACUCAACCUUCUGGGUAAUAACCCAACCACUGGGUCAAAACUACCCAGUCGCUGGGUUUGUCCAUAUUUUACCUAUAUUUUACAUUUUAAAGUGUAAGAAACAGGAAUUGUAUGGCUUUUAAAAUUUUAAAAUAGACAUUUCUUCAAAAAUAAAAAGUUAACCACUAGCUGCUCAAUUCAACUUCCUGUUCAACUAACUAAUAAGAGUAUAGGUGCAACCAUUUUUAACCUGCAAGGCUUCUAGUGUCAGUAGCUUCCAGAUAUUUUAGCUGUUCAAAAUCAAAGUCUUGCUUCAAACUGGUAUUUGUUAUCAUAUUAUUUCAGUCUAAUCCUAAACACUUAGAAUUUGUCACAUGAUUUGACAGUUUACUCCACUUUGUUAUUCUUCUAGUAAUUUAAGGGAAUGAUAGGAAAAAGAUAACUUUUAUUAAGUAAUGCUGUUACUUUGAAACUGAGCUCUUAGACUGUAAUUUGGUCAUCUUGUUAAUCUGAUGUUUCUAAAAUGAAAAUGGCAGGUAGAUUUGCAGAAUUUUGAAGAAGGAAAGUGUAAAAAACCUCACAAUUAGCCCUGUCUGCUCUAUCUUGUGGUCAUGGAUGCUGCUGAUGUUCAUGCAUUACCGGUUUUGUAGAGUAUCACACAUUUACACAGGCUAAACAUCAUGUAAUGAUUCUUCAAAUGUGGCACUCCAUUCAUACUGCUCAUAUCAUUCCCUACACAUCCCUGAUGUCCACACAUGUGAUUUCUAAAUAGAUCAUAGAUGUUCCAUUAUAUCUCCGCUGACUGUCUGCUACAUGUAACUAAACUGUUGCCUAAGCAAGAAGUGCAACUGUAUGUGCAUUUCUGACAUCUUCCUUUAAAACCACCUUUUAGAUGAAGUGGUAUAUAUUUAAAGCAGGGAAAUAUAUUCUCAAGCAAUCCAUUACAUAAGCUGAUCAUGUAUUAAUAACCAUUGUGAGAAGUUAUAAAACAGGCAAAGUGUUGCACAGUUUAGUACCGUAUGUGUCUGUUGUUUGUGCAUAGUAAGCAAUAAUGCAUCAUAAAUCAUAGGAGUACAAUGACCGAAGUAUCACUGUUGCUUUGCACAUGAUGUUAACUGGUUGUUCAUGUAAAUAUAUUCUUUACUAGUGCCUUAUAUCAUGCAUCAUAUCGUCAGUGAAAGAAACUGAAAUCACUAUCCAUUCUAGAGCAUGAAUUUUGAGGUUAUGAUGUCACUUUUGUAAAAUGAAUGUAUUGCAUUAAAAGUCUUCCUGGGAUUAUAAUAUUCUUUAUAUAUGCUCAUGUAACAUCAUGUGUUUCUAAAGGACCGAUCCCCAUGUUUCAACUUUUCAGCAAUGCCCAUUAUAAAGACAUUUCACAUAAACCUUUUGGCAUUCAUGCAACAUAAAGUAAUCCUUUCAUUCAUAAUUUUUUUUUUUUUUUUUUUUUUUUUUUUUUUGCAGUUAAAGUUAUAUACAGGUUAAUUACAAGCUAAUCUCAGUUGACAGCACUUGUGGCAUAAUGUUGAUUGCCACACACAACUUUUGAGUUACAGUAAGGCACUUAUAAACAAGGCCUAUCCAUAAAUGCAAAAUAUAAAAUAAAAAUGAAAAAAUCACUGUUUCAGUGCAGGCAUGAUUUGUGUAAGAAAAAAAUUGUAAAGUUUUAUUUAAUUCUGCAAUGUAGACUUUAAACCCUACAACACUAUGAAUUUGUUUGCUUUUAAGUCUUCCAAAAAUGUUCCAAAUUCACAUCCAUUACAAAUUUCCUUACAAAUGUCCUUACCUUAGUCUAGAUUUGUAUAUAUACUGUAUAUAUAUAUAUAUAUAUAUAUAUAUAUAUAUAUAUAUAUAUAUAUAAACAUCAUGCCAUGAAUUUUGUUGAUUCCGUUUAACUUUUACUGAAUUCAGAAAUGUCCUUUAAAUCAAUACAUUACAAGUUUUCAGGAGCUUGCAGAAUAGACAUAAACAAAAAUGGCAACAGAAUGCAUUAGCAUAAACCCACAUGGCAAUGAUCAAAUCUUGUUCAAAUCACCCAAAAUUUGAGCCAGAUAAAAAAUAAAAAAAAAACCUUAAAAAAAACUUCUUAAAUUAUUCUGUUUUCGCUGAAAGCGAUAAAUCUGCACAAUGCAAUGCAGUCGCAACCAAUCAAAACAUAUUUGAUGUUUAUUUGAAAACAACAUUUUCUGUAAGGUUUCAUUGUGGGUGUUAGAGAUUCAGAGUCCUAACCCAAAGGUUGUGUGUUCGAGUCUUGGGCCAACGGGAAUUGUAGGUGGGGGAAGUGAAUGUACAGCGCUCUCUCCCACCUUCAAUACCAUGACUGAGGUGCCCUUGAGCAAGGGACCGAACCCCCAACUGCUCCUCGGGCGCUGCAGCAUAAAUGGCUCUAGGUGUGUGUGUGUUCACUGCUGUGUGGGUGCACUUUGGACUGGGUUAAAUGCAGAGCAAUUCUGAGUAUAGGUCACCAUACUUGACUGUAUGUCACGUCACUUUCAAAUAAAAAACAAGCAGAGAUAGUGAGGAUGAUGUGUCACAUCUGAUUAGAACAUGAUGUUGAGCUACAAACGCAUCAGAUCGUCUGUGUUCAUACUGUGUGUGUGUAGUGCAGCUGGUGUACAUCUGAAGAGCCUUAGCACUUUGUUAUCACUGUACAAAGGUGUCUGGUGUGUCCAGUAUGAGUAGUUCUUGUACUAACUGUUGUCUGCUGUCAUGUCCUUCCUGCUAUUGUAUUGAAUCAUUAGCCAUUUAUUGUGUAAAACACAUAGUCUGCUAAUAUGUCCAGUAAUGUCCUCUGUCUAGUCUUCUUACUCAGCAGGAUGAUGAAUUUAGUGUCUAGUUGAUGAUGUAAAUGUAUGGUGUACAGUUAUUUUGAUGUUGUGAUAGAGAGUAUGUUGUAUACCUGAGGUAAUCUAUCUAUCUAUCUAUCUAUCUAUCUAUCUAUCUAUCUAUCUAUCUAUCUAUCUAUCUAUCUAUCUAUCUAUCUAUCUAUCUAUAUUUGAAUUAUAAACAUACAGAAUGUAUGGAAUAAAUAUGUUUGAAUACUUCUUUUGUCUGAUCUCCUACAUUUAAUCAAGUCAUCUUUACAGCAUUUGAAAUGGUAAAAUAGUGCACCAUUGUCUCUGGACCCCAGCCUGGUUCCAUCCAGACUAUUACAUCUAAUUGGUGACCCCUGGUAAAGACAAGGAGGGCAUGACUGUACUAUGUUUGACUUUUAAUUGUACACACAAUUAAUU
RNA transcript from Carassius gibelio (silver crucian carp), 9920 nucleotides. It is a transcript of the gene named shaker-related potassium channel tsha2-like, with no coding region annotated. The record is from RefSeq and is a predicted model, not a curated record. The transcript is spliced from 2 exons. Lineage: Eukaryota; Metazoa; Chordata; Actinopteri; Cypriniformes; Cyprinidae.